AGUGAACGCUGGCGGUAGGCCUAACACAUGCAAGUCGAACGGCAGCACAGUAAGAGCUUGCUAUUACUGGUGGCGAGUGGCGGACGGGUGAGGAAUACAUCGGAAUCUACUUUUUCGUGGGGGAUAACGUAGGGAAACUUACGCUAAUACAGCAUACGACCUACGGGUGAAAGCAGGGGAUCUUCGGACCUUGCGCGAUUGAAUGAGCCGAUGUCGGAUUAGCUAGUUGGCGGGGUAAAGGCCCACCAAGGCGACGAUCCGUAGCUGUACUGUGAGGCUGAUCAGCCACACUAGAACUAACACUCGUUCCAGAGUCCUAAGGAAGGCAGGAAUGUGUAAUAUCGGACGAUGGGCCGAAAAAUCGUCCACUACUACCGCGUGGGUGAAGAUGACUUUCGGGUUGUAAAUCCCUUUUUUUGUGAAUGAAAAGUAGCACGUUAAUACCUCGCUGUUCUGACGGUACCCAAAGAAUAAGCACCGGCUAGCUACGUG
RNAcentral lists this ribosomal RNA (492 nucleotides) under uncultured bacterium. RNAcentral describes it as "partial 16S ribosomal RNA". It matches the Rfam family "Bacterial small subunit ribosomal RNA", at positions 29 to 507 of the family's 1533-position model. The record is from RNAcentral.